This 341-nucleotide long non-coding RNA is filed under the name Homo sapiens (human). Its description in RNAcentral is "non-protein coding lnc-LBX1-4:1". The record is from RNAcentral. Lineage: Eukaryota; Metazoa; Chordata; Mammalia; Primates; Hominidae.
UGCUUGGUUACUGGCCCUAGGGGGAGUGUGGAGAGGGGGAGACCUAUGUUUGCCUCUGGGGUGACACAGAGGGUAUGUUAAGGUAUAUUUAAGCUGCUGUGACAAAGAGGUCCCCCAAUACAUAGACUAACAGGGAUAGGUGUCUAUUCUUUUUCACAUAACAGUUCAGUGUAUAGAUCUCUGUUCUAUAUGUUGUCAUCACUAAAAGCAUGGACUCUGGAACCUGGUUGCCUGGAAUCAAAUCUUGCCCUUGGUGACCUUAUAGCAAUUACUCAACCUGUGUCUCAGGUUCCUUACCUGUAAACUUGGUUGGACUUCAUAGGAUUAUUGUGAGGAUUAAG